AGAGGUGGCAAGCGUUGUUCGGAAUUACUGGGCGUAAAGGGCGCGUAGGCGGUCGCCUAAGUCGGACGUGAAAUCCCCAAGCUUAACUUGGGAACUGCGUCCGAUACUGGGUGACUUGAGUUCGGGAGAGGAAUGUGGAAUUCCAGGUGUAGCGGUGAAAUGCGUAGAUAUCUGGAGGAACACCGGUGGCGAAGGCGGCAUUCUGGACCGAAACUGACGCUGAGGCGCGAAAGCCAGGGGAGCAAACGGGAUUAGAUACCCCGGUAGUCCUGGCCCUAAACGAUGAGUGCUUGGUGUGGCGGGUAUCGAUCCCUGCCGUGCCGAAGCUAACGCAUUAAGCACUCCGCCUGGGGAGUACGGUCGCAAGGCUGAA
RNAcentral lists this ribosomal RNA (373 nucleotides) under uncultured bacterium. RNAcentral's name for it is "bacterial SSU rRNA". It matches the Rfam family "Bacterial small subunit ribosomal RNA", at positions 527 to 898 of the family's 1533-position model. The record is from RNAcentral.